This 494-nucleotide ribosomal RNA is filed under the name uncultured bacterium. RNAcentral's name for it is "partial 16S ribosomal RNA". It matches the Rfam family "Bacterial small subunit ribosomal RNA", at positions 28 to 507 of the family's 1533-position model. The record is from RNAcentral.
GACGAACGCUGGCGGCGUGCUUAACACAUGCAAGUCGAACGGUGAAGCGCCUUCCUUUUUGGUGGGUGUGGAUGAGUGGCGAACGGGUGAGUAACACGUGAGUAACCUGCCCCCUUCUUCUGGAUAACCGCAUGAAAGUGUUGCUAAUACGGGAUAUUCUGGGUCUGUCGCAUGAUGGGUCUGGGAAGGAUAUUGUUUCGGUGGGGGAUGGGCUCGCGGCCUAUCAGCUUGUUGGUGGGGUGAUGGCCUACCAAGGCGGUGACGGGUAGCCGGCCUGAGAGGGUGGGCGGUCACACUGGGACUGAGACACGGACCAGACUCCUACGGGAGGCAGCAGGGGGGAAUAUUGCACAAUGGGCGGAAGCCUGAUGCAGCGACGCGGCGGGAGGGAUGGAGGCCGUCGGGUUGUGAACCUCUUUCGCCAGUGAAGCAGGCCUGCCUCGUUUGUGGGUGGGUUGACGGUAGCUGGAUAAGAAGCGCCGGCUAACUACGUG